This is a long non-coding RNA of Erinaceus europaeus (western European hedgehog), 1058 nucleotides long. RefSeq lists it as uncharacterized. NCBI's taxonomy places the organism in Eukaryota, Metazoa, Chordata, Mammalia, Eulipotyphla, Erinaceidae. The transcript is spliced from 3 exons. The record is from RefSeq and is a predicted model, not a curated record.
GAUACAGAGUUCUGGUGGUGGGAACUGUGUGGAGGUGUACCCCUCUUAUCCUAUGGUCUUGCCAGUGUUUCUAUUUUAUAAAUAAAAAAAUAACUAAAUUCUAUUCAUGAAGGUAAAAAAAAAAAGUCCUUUGAUCCCUCAGAGGUUAGCCAUCCCCAAUUAUUUGUCAAAAAUAAAUGCUCAUUACAUUAGGGAGGGGGGACAGGAUGUUAAAACUUUUCCUGAAUCACACAACUUUUUUUUUUUUUUAAACCAGAGGACUGCUCAGCUCUGGCUUAUGGUGAUGCUGCAGACUGAAACUGGAGUCCUUUUGCACAACCAUUAUGCUAUCUGCCCAGCCCGCAGUUUCCCGACUGAACUGGGAACUGCUGAGAGAUCUAUCAACCCCAAGGCUAACUCAGUCCAAUUCUACAGCGUCCAGCCAACACAGGGGGGCAGCUGACAACUCAUCACUUUUGAUGGAUGGCACUAGCUGUCACUUAGUACCCGGAAGGGGAAGAAGCAGAUUGUAGGAGAUCGCAAACAGCUGCCAUUAGGAUCAGACGGCCCUACUUUAAGGCACGACACCUCCUUUUUGGAAGCAAAAGCCAUCUAAGACCACUUACAAAAUGCCCCCAGUGGUAGACUGCACACUCUACUGACACCAGAAGAUGGGACUGCGCCCCCUCCCUAACACUCACUACUCAACAAUGAAAAUGUCUGGGAGCCAGAGGUUCUUGGUCGCCACACUGAUCUUCGUGAUGCCCUCGCAGUCCUCUGGAUCCCAUCUGAUGAAAGGGUUGUCCCACACCUAGAAUCCAGGUGGAAGAGAGAUGCAUCUCUCAACAAGAUCCUGCUGACUCAGGGCUGCUGAAGUGAGAUGUCUCUAAACUGAAACCCUCAAUGCAGGUUGUCCUGAGAUUCAGGCUUGACACCCCCACCCCUCAAGAUCCUUGGAGCCCUGGGAAGAGCUGGGCACUGUGAGUUUUUUUUUCCCCCAGUACUUUUUGUUGUUAAUAGUUCAACAGUAUUGAUCUGUUGACCUGAGGUGGAUCUUUUAUUCAUGGUUUGCUAUUGUU